UACAGAGGUCCCAAGCGUUGUUCGGAUUCACUGGGCGUAAAGGGUGCGUAGGCGGUCGGGUAAGUCUGACGUGAAAUCUCCGGGCCUAACCCGGAAACUGCGUCGGAUACUAUCCGGCUAGAGGAUUGGAAGGGAGACUGGAAUACUUGGUGUAGCAGUGAAAUGCGUAGAUAUCAAGUGGAACACCAGUGGCGAAGGCGAGUCUCUGGACAAUUCCUGACGCUGAGGCACAAAAGCCAGGGAAGCAAACGGG
This 253-nucleotide ribosomal RNA is filed under the name uncultured bacterium. RNAcentral's name for it is "partial 16S ribosomal RNA". It matches the Rfam family "Bacterial small subunit ribosomal RNA", at positions 524 to 776 of the family's 1533-position model. The record is from RNAcentral.